Molecule: ribosomal RNA, 690 nt
Filed under: uncultured bacterium
Lineage: Bacteria
Description: bacterial SSU rRNA
Rfam family: Bacterial small subunit ribosomal RNA
Source: RNAcentral
AGAGUUUGAUCCUGGCUCAGAUUGAACGCUGGCGGCAGGCCUAACACAUGCAAGUCGAACGGUAGCACAGAGAGCUUGCUCUCGGGUGACGAGUGGCGGACGGGUGAGUAAUGUCUGGGAAACUGCCUGAUGGAGGGGGAUAACUACUGGAAACGGUAGCUAAUACCGCAUAAUGUCGCAAGACCAAAGAGGGGGACCUUCGGGCCUCUUGCCAUCAGAUGUGCCCAGAUGGGAUUAGCUAGUAGGUGGGGUAACGGCUCACCUAGGCGACGAUCCCUAGCUGGUCUGAGAGGAUGACCAGCCACACUGGAACUGAGACACGGUCCAGACUCCUACGGGAGGCAGCAGUGGGGAAUAUUGCACAAUGGGCGCAAGCCUGAUGCAGCCAUGCCGCGUGUAUGAAGAAGGCCUUCGGGUUGUAAAGUACUUUCAGCGGGGAGGAAGGUGUUGUGGUUAAUAACCACAGCAAUUGACGUUACCCGCAGAAGAAGCACCGGCUAACUCCGUGCCAGCAGCCGCGGUAAUACGGAGGGUGCAAGCGUUAAUCGGAAUUACUGGGCGUAAAGCGCACGCAGGCGGUCUGUCAAGUCGGAUGUGAAAUCCCCGGGCUCAACCUGGGAACUGCAUUCGAAACUGGCAGGCUAGAGUCUUGUAGAGGGGGGUAGAAUCCCAGGUGUAGCGGUGAAAUGC